GGAACUCUUGAUGGUUCAGGUUUUGAUACUGCAGAAUAGUAGGGGCUGCUUUCUGCUGUGUUGAGGGAAUAGUCCUCAAAAUGCCCACUGCAGCCUCUGGGGCUCAUGUCGGUUAGAGCUGAUGGAGCUGGUGAGAGUUGGCACUUGUCUGGCUUCGAGUAUACAUGGUUUAGUGAUUCAUAAUAUGUGGAAAAUCUAGGGUCUUCAUAUUCAGGUUGUGGUUGGUGUGAAUAACUAUUUCUGCUCUUUGUGCUUCCCUUUGCUUGUCCAAGAUCCAUCUCAACAAUUUUGAUGUUCUCCUCCAUGCCUCUAUCAGUAUCCUACAUCCAUCAAAGCCAUGUUGCAUACCAUUCAAUCUUGAUAAAGUUAGCCAAGAAUUGAUAAAUAAUUUAGAUUUUCUUUUCCCAUUUUUUAACUGAUAUUGAGCAGACUAGGAAGGAUAUUGUUGAUCAAUAGAUAUUCCAAGCAUGAAAGAAAAUAGAACUUAUUCCUUUCUUGAGAUACGGGAUAACUUUACUGUUAUUGCUCCUGUUUGAAAAUCAAAAGAUAUGAAUUGGAAAUUCCAACAUAAACGAAAUAACGCGUACAUAAUUUAAAUGUCUAAAUCUGUUAUCGUGUGUUGAUUUUUUGUGGAUUGAUUGUCUCUGACUAGCAGGCUUUGUUUCUUCUGCCAUUAGGAUCCUUUGGGCUCGAGCUCUAGCCUGUACAGUCACCAAUGCCUGCAUACACCGAAGUGUAGCAGUGGCCUGUUUCCUUACAAGGUGACCUCUUACUAAUGCCUGCAACUUCACUAAUCCUUUUAAUGCACAUAAUGCUUUUCUUGCCUGUGAACAGCACAAUGAAUACAGUUCUUAUCAUCAUCUUCGUAAUGACAUUCUUUCAACUCGCAGAAGACAUGUUAAUUUCCAGAUUAAAGAUAAAAAAAGAUCAAGAAUUGCGUACCAGAUAAGAACGGAAGACGGACUGAAUCUUUAUGGCAGCAGCCUCUUCAAUAGCACGUGUUUUCUGAUUGGCAACAGUUGUUAGGCGGAGCACAACAGCU
Molecule: long non-coding RNA, 1042 nt
Filed under: Jatropha curcas
Lineage: Eukaryota; Viridiplantae; Streptophyta; Magnoliopsida; Malpighiales; Euphorbiaceae
Description: long non-coding RNA (JCUR_LNC001003)
Source: RNAcentral